Molecule: ribosomal RNA, 391 nt
Filed under: uncultured bacterium
Lineage: Bacteria
Description: bacterial SSU rRNA
Rfam family: Bacterial small subunit ribosomal RNA
Source: RNAcentral
GAACGGCAUCGGAACUGUCAGGCUAGAGUGCAGGAGAGGAAGGUAGAAUUCCCGGUGUAGCGGUGAAAUGCGUAGAGAUCGGGAGGAAUACCAGUGGCGAAGGCGGCCUUCUGGACUGACACUGACACUGAGGUGCGAAAGCGUGGGUAGCAAACAGGAUUAGAUACCCUGGUAGUCCACGCCGUAAACGAUGUCGACCAGCCGUUGGGUGCCUAGCGCACUUUGUGGCGAAGUUAACGCGAUAAGUCGACCGCCUGGGGAGUACGGCCGCAAGGUUAAAACUCAAAUGAAUUGACGGGGGCCCGCACAAGCGGUGGAGCAUGUGGUUUAAUUCGAUGCAACGCGAAGAACCUUACCUACUCUUGACAUCCUGCGAACUUGUGAGAGAUCA